RNAcentral lists this ribosomal RNA (506 nucleotides) under Neogloboquadrina incompta. RNAcentral's name for it is "bacterial SSU rRNA". It matches the Rfam family "Eukaryotic small subunit ribosomal RNA", at positions 1204 to 1472 of the family's 1831-position model. The record is from RNAcentral. Lineage: Eukaryota; Foraminifera; Rotaliida; Globorotaliidae.
CGCGGGAAAUCUUACCAGGGUCCGGACACACUGAGGAUUGACAGGAAGUAUCGUCUUUUGAAAUCUUUAAGACAUGUCGUUUCUAAUGACAUCUUUUAGAUGAAUGAUUCGUGUAAAUAUGCUAGUUCUUUCAUGAUUAUGUGAUAGGUGGUGCAUGGCCGUUCUUAGUUCGUGGAGUGAUCUGUCUGCUUAAUUGCGUUUCACUAUGGCCCCAAAGUUAGCAAGUUAUCCAAUCAUGACCUUCGUCGACCCCUCACCUUUGAGUGCGCGUCCUAGCUUAGAGUACAUGGUGUAAAUGGACUUGUUUUGGGUACCCAGAAAGCAACGAACGUGACCGCAACGUCUUGUUGUCUCUCUUUUGACAGUUAUGGGUUAUCCCAGUCAUGUGUUUAUACUUUUAUGUGUAAAUACGUACGACACAGAGACUAGAUACCAAACUAGGCGUACCGCUGUAUCAUUUCUUUAAACCAGAGGAAGGUUGCGGCAAUAACAGGUCUGUGAUGCAC